GAAAUGCGAUAAGUAGUGUGAAUUGCAGAUUUCAGUGAAUCAUCGAAUCUUUGAACGCACAUUGCGCCCCUUGGUAUUCCUUGGAGCAUGCCUGUUUGAGUAUCAUGAAAUCUUCAAAGUAAAUCUUUUGUUAACUCAAUUGGUUUCUACUUUGGUAUUGGAGGUCUUUGCAGCUUCACACCUGCUCCUCUUUGUUCAUUAGCUGGAUCUCAGUGUUAUGCUUGGUUCCACUCGGCGUGAUAAGUUAUCUAUCGCUGAGGACACUGUAAAAGGUGGCCAAGGUAAAUGCAGAUGAACCGCUUCUAAUAGUCCAUUGACUUGGACAAUACUUUUAUGAUCUGAUCUCAAAUCAGGUAGGACUACCCGCUGAACUUAAGC
This 378-nucleotide unclassified non-coding RNA is filed under the name plant metagenome. RNAcentral describes it as "partial contains 5.8S ribosomal RNA, internal transcribed spacer 2, and large subunit ribosomal RNA". The stretch from base 1 to 105 matches the Rfam family "5.8S ribosomal RNA", at positions 50 to 154 of the family's 154-position model. The record is from RNAcentral.